RNAcentral lists this non-coding RNA (31 nucleotides) under Homo sapiens (human). Lineage: Eukaryota; Metazoa; Chordata; Mammalia; Primates; Hominidae. The record is from RNAcentral.
UGGACUAGGGGCUGCGGAGCCCAGUGGUUGC